This 485-nucleotide ribosomal RNA is filed under the name uncultured bacterium. Its description in RNAcentral is "bacterial SSU rRNA". It matches the Rfam family "Bacterial small subunit ribosomal RNA", at positions 21 to 507 of the family's 1533-position model. The record is from RNAcentral.
GGCUCAGAUUGAACGCUGGCGGCAUGCUUUACACAUGCAAGUCGAACGGUAACAGGUUAAGCUGACGAGUGGCGAACGGGUGAGUAAUGCAUCGGAACGUGCCCGAUCGUGGGGGAUAACGCAGCGAAAGCUGCGCUAAUACCGCAUACGAUCUGAGGAUGAAAGCGGGGGACCGUAAGGGCCUCGCGCGAUCGGAGCGGCCGAUGUCAGAUUAGGUAGUUGGUGGGGUAAAGGCUCACCAAGCCGACGAUCUGUAGCUGGUCUGAGAGGACGACCAGCCACACUGGGACUGAGACACGGCCCAGACUCCUACGGGAGGCAGCAGUGGGGAAUUUUGGACAAUGGGCGCAAGCCUGAUCCAGCAAUGCCGCGUGCAGGAAGAAGGCCUUCGGGUUGUAAACUGCUUUUGUACGGAGCGAAAAGGCUCUCUCUAAUACAGAGGGUUCAUGACGGUACCGUAAGAAUAAGCACCGGCUAACUACGUG